This 557-nucleotide long non-coding RNA is filed under the name Homo sapiens (human). RNAcentral's name for it is "HSALNT0135992". The record is from RNAcentral. Lineage: Eukaryota; Metazoa; Chordata; Mammalia; Primates; Hominidae.
GGACUGGUCUAGCUCCAGCAGCUUCCCUGUGGCAUUCAGGUGUCUGAUGAGUAACUCUUCUGAACCACCCCCCACAUCCCCCAGCCCUAAGGCCUCCACACCAAGCUCUGGAACAUGAGGGUAAUUUGAACCUGCAUCUGUGGACUGCUUCGUCUGUGUUUACAGAGAGAAGACAACCUGCAAGAAACAGGAUUGGAUUUGUUAUUUGUAAGUCAAACCAGCUGUGAUCUCCUGUCUAUGGCUGCUUUCUUUGCAAAUACCAAAUGUCACUUGUGGUUGGAGCUACUUUUCUUCCCAGAGAGUUGUUUUCCCCUCACACAGCCAGCCUUCCUUCCAUGCCUCUUCCCCCACCAGCUGCUCCCCUGCAAGGUAUCAGUUUGCUGGGUCAGCCUGGGCACUGCUGCACCCGGCUCCAGCUGCUUGGCUGGGGUGCUUUUCCCCUCCUUUUAGAAAUCAACUAGAAAUCCAUCUUCAUGAAGUUCUAAAUCAAGAAUCACUUUGGCAAGAAUAAAAAGAAGAAACACUUGGCACAAUUUACACUCAUUGGAAGGAGCAUC